RNAcentral lists this long non-coding RNA (457 nucleotides) under Gallus gallus (chicken). The record is from RNAcentral. Lineage: Eukaryota; Metazoa; Chordata; Aves; Galliformes; Phasianidae.
GUGAACAAACCUCCAGAGCCCUCUCGAAGAGACACCAAUUAUGAGGAAUGGUGGCAUUCGAUUCAUAAGGAACAUUUUCAAAAACCUCUGCUGCACAUCCUUUCGUUGCGGGGAAUGCGUGGAGACAGAGGACAAGGUUCACUUUAUCACACGCUGUGAGAAGGAGCAGUGACGGUGAACGUGCUGUCAUCCUGGAAAUCUCAAUCAGUAAAUUCUUGUUUGGAUUAAGGAUCUUCCAGGAUUUGGAUGGCUCGUUUUAUCUCUAUCAGAAAUAAGAUCUUCCACAUAACUAAUUUGGAGAAUCUUCAGAUUAGCAAGAUGGAACAUAAAUCAUCAUCUCAGAUAUUGGCGGCAGUUUGAUCAUACUGUUUAAAACCAAAGGACUUAGAAACAACGCAGAGAAGAUUUGUUCGUUCAUGGUUUUUAAAAACACUGUCUUAUUUUUAUUAAGCUAAGC